AUUAUCUUCCAUUCUGGUAUAAAUAUACCAAAAUGAAAUUUACUGUCCUAUAUAUAUUCAAAAGGAAAAUAAUAAUAAAAAAGAUGGAAUGGUUGCAAUUAUAGCUAAGAUGUGUAAAAUGCUCUGAAGGUGUUUCACUUUAAAUGUUUACAAAUUGUUACAGGAUUCAUGAUCUUUAAAUCUGUCCUUUAAGACACUGAAACUACCCUUCUAGGAAGGAUGAACAUCUCUAGUGGGGUGGUUAUCAGGCUCUGGGCAACAGUCUGAUGUUUAAAUAUUUAAAACAGGGCCAGUAACCCAAUCAACAAAGGGCCAAGGACCUGAACAGAAGAGGAUAUACAAUCAAUCAACAAAUAUACGAAAAAAUGCUCAUCAUCUCUAGCAAUCAGAGAAAUGCGAAUUAAAACUACUCUAAGAUAUCAUCUCACUCCAGUCAGAAUGGCAGCUAUUAUGAAGAUAAACAACAAUAAGUGUUGGUGAGGAUGUGGGGAAAAGGUACACUCAUAUACUGCUGGUGGGACUGCAAUUUGGUGCAGCCAAUUUGGAAAGCAGUAUGGAGAUUCCUUGGAAAGCUGGGACUGGAACCACCAUUUGACCCAGCUAUUGCCCUUCUUGGACUAUACCCAAAGGACCUAAAAACAGCAUACUGCAGGGACACAGCCACAUCAAUGUUUAUAGCAGCACAAAUCACAAUAGCUAGACUGUGGAGCCAACCUAGAUGCCCUUCAGUGGAUGAAUGGAUAAAAACAUGUGGCAUAUAUACACAAUGGAAUAUUAAUCAGCAAUAAAAAAUAACAAAAUCAUGGCAUUUGCAGGGAAAUGGAGGGCAUUAGAGCAGAUUAUGCUAAGUGAAGCUAGCCCAUCCUAAAAAAACAAAUGCCGAAUGUCUUCUCUGACAUAAGGGGGAUGACUCAAAAUAGGGUAGGGAG
RNAcentral lists this long non-coding RNA (929 nucleotides) under Marmota monax (woodchuck). Lineage: Eukaryota; Metazoa; Chordata; Mammalia; Rodentia; Sciuridae. The record is from RNAcentral.